Long non-coding RNA from Pecten maximus, 1704 nucleotides. RefSeq lists it as uncharacterized. The record is from RefSeq and is a predicted model, not a curated record. Lineage: Eukaryota; Metazoa; Mollusca; Bivalvia; Pectinida; Pectinidae. The transcript has 2 exons.
AUUCAUUGUUGCUAUACACACACAGCACAAUUCAUUCGUUUGGCCAUUAGAAUUCCAGGGAAUUCUUUUUUCCCCAUUCAGAUAAUAACUACCUUUACAGGUUAUAUCAAAUUAAUUAAUUGGAUCAUGUGUUUUUAAUAUGAAGUUAUGGUUAUAUUUUAGUAAAUGUAUACAACAUGGUGAGUAGCCCCCAAGAAGAGCCAAAAUUAAGAUUGUAAUUCAUGUUGCUGAGAAAUCUAAAAGUAAUAAAUCAUAUUCGAAUUUUAUCUAUGACUUUUCUUGUAUGUUGUGUAUAAAAUGGAAAUUUGUUUAAUUUGAGUUUAUACACAACAUAUAUAUAUAUAUUGCUAGCUACUGGUUAUCCACUAACAGGUUAUUUUAUUAUCAAAUUCUCUAUUAUUCUGAUCAAGUAUAUUAGAGAAUAAAUAGUGGCUUACUUGAUGAAUAGACAGUGGUUUGUUUACAUCUUGCGCAUAUGCAAAUUUAGUAGAGAAGUAGGUAACACGUGACCAGAAUCAACCAAUGAGAGCCAAGUAAAUAUAAUAGAACAGUUAAAAUUGGAAUUGUGAAAGGGACAGCACGUGAAUUUAUACAAGCAUUACAUUUGUCGUUGAAUCGUACCCACCCACCAUCCCCAGGUCAUCACCAUAGGGUAGCGAUAUAUAUAGUCAUGUAUUUAAUAAAUCUUGAUCAGGUGUAAACAUGUAACUUUUAACAUAGAAUUGUAAUCAUAUAGUAAUUGAUUUUAUGUUUGAGGUCAUUGUUGGAUCUCUAUCUUAGUUUGAUGUUUUUGUUGCAUUAAACACAUGCAGUUAUAUGGGCUACUCACCACAUAUUAUGUUUGUGUUCAGGUUUAUUAUGUUUUGUUUCAACCUAUUCUAGUCACUAGUAGCUUGCGGCUUUAGUUUAUUUUGUUGUAGUUUUGUAGUAUAUAUAUGUAACCAUCCAGUUCCUUUACCCUGUUCCAGGGUUUAGUUAUUUAACCUGUUCCAGGUUACCUCCCUUAGUUGAGAUGUACCCUGUUCCAGGGCUUAGUUAUAUAACCUGUUCCAGGUUACCUCCCUUAGAGAUUUACCCUGUUCCAGGGCUGAGUUAUGUAACCUGUUCCAGGUUACCUCCCUUACUUGAGAUGUACCCUGUUCCAGGGCUUAGUUAUAUAACCUGUUCCAGGUUACCUUACUUAGUGGAGAUUUGCCUUGUUCCAGGGCUUAGUUACAUAACCUGUUCCAGGUUACCUCCCUUAGUUGAGAUGUACCCUGUUCCAGGGCUUAGUUAUGUAACCUGUUCCAGGUUACCUCCCUUAGUUGAGAUGUACCCUGUUCCAGGGCUUAGUUAUAUAACCUGUUCCAGGUUACCUUCCUUAGAGAUUUACCCUGUUCCAGGGCUUAGUUUAAUGUAACCUGUUCCAGGUUACCUUACUUAGUGGAGAUUUGCCUUGUUCAAUGGCCAUUAGAAUUCCAGGGAAUUCUUUUUCCCCAUGGCCAUUAGAAUUCCAGGGAAUUCUUUUUUCCCCAUUCAGAUAAUAACUACCUUUACAGGUUAUAUCAAAUUAAUUAAUUGGAUCAUGUGUUUUUAAUAUGAAGUUAUGGUUAUAUUUUAGUAAAUGUAUACAACAUGGUGAGUAGCCCCCAAGAAGAGCCAAAAUUAAGAUUGUAAUUCAUGUUGCUGAGAAAUCUAAAAGUAAUAAAUCAUAUUCGAAUUUUA